This 550-nucleotide ribosomal RNA is filed under the name uncultured Actinomycetes bacterium. Its description in RNAcentral is "bacterial SSU rRNA". It matches the Rfam family "Bacterial small subunit ribosomal RNA", at positions 254 to 818 of the family's 1533-position model. Lineage: Bacteria; Bacillati; Actinomycetota; Actinomycetes. The record is from RNAcentral.
GGGGUAAUGGCCUACCAAGGCGACGACGGGUAGCCGACCUGAGAGGUGACCGGCCCACUGGGACUGAGACACGGCCCAGACUCCUACGGGAGGCAGCAGUGGGGAAUAUUGCACAAUGGGCGCAAGCCUGAUGCAGCGACGCCGCGUGAGGGAUGACGGCCUUCGGGUUGUAAACCUCUUUCAGCAGGGAAGAAGCGCAAGUGACGGUACCUGCAGAAGAAGCGCCGGCUAACUACGUGCCAGCAGCCGCGGUAAUACGUAGGGCGCGAGCGUUGUCCGGAAUUAUUGGGCGUAAAGAGCUCGUAGGUGGUUUGUCGCGUUGUUCGUGAAAACCUGAGGCUUAACCUUGGGCGUGCGGGCGAUACGGGCAGACUGGAGUACUGCAGGGGAGACUGGAAUUCCUGGUGUAGCGGUGGAAUGCGCAGAUAUCAGGAGGAACACCGGUGGCGAAGGCGGGUCUCUGGGCAGUAACUGACGCUGAGGAACGAAAGCGUGGGUAGCGAACAGGAUUAGAUACCCUGGUAGUCCACGCCGUAAACGGUGGGCGCUA